RNAcentral lists this ribosomal RNA (741 nucleotides) under uncultured bacterium. Its description in RNAcentral is "bacterial SSU rRNA". It matches the Rfam family "Bacterial small subunit ribosomal RNA", at positions 55 to 809 of the family's 1533-position model. The record is from RNAcentral.
AUGCAAGUCGAACGAUGAAGCCCAGCUUGCUGGGUGGAUUAGUGGCGAACGGGUGAGUAACACGUGAGUAACCUGCCCUUCACUCUGGGAUAACUCCGGGAAACCGGUGCUAAUACUGGAUAUGACUACUUCCCGCAUGGGAUGGUGGUGGAAAGUUUUUCGGUGGGGGAUGGACUCGCGGCCUAUCAGCUUGUUGGUGGGGUAAUGGCCUACCAAGGCGACGACGGGUAGCCGGCCUGAGAGGGCGACCGGCCACACUGGGACUGAGACACGGCCCAGACUCCUACGGGAGGCAGCAGUGGGGAAUAUUGCACAAUGGGCGAAAGCCUGAUGCAGCGACGCCGCGUGAGGGAUGACGGCCUUCGGGUUGUAAACCUCUUUCAGCAGGGACGAAGCUUUUGUGACGGUACCUGCAGAAGAAGCACCGGCUAACUACGUGCCAGCAGCCGCGGUAAUACGUAGGGUGCGAGCGUUGUCCGGAAUUAUUGGGCGUAAAGAGCUUGUAGGCGGUUUGUCGCGUCUGCUGUGAAAACUCGGGGCUUAACUCCGAGCCUGCAGUGGGUACGGGCAGACUAGAGUAUGGUAGGGGAGACUGGAAUUCCUGGUGUAGCGGUGGAAUGCGCAGAUAUCAGGAGGAACACCGAUGGCGAAGGCAGGUCUCUGGGCCAUAACUGACGCUGAGAAGCGAAAGCAUGGGUAGCGAACAGGAUUAGAUACCCUGGUAGAAUCACUAGUGAAUUC